UACGUAGGGACCGAGCGUUGUCCGGAAUCAUUGGGCGUAAAGAGCGUGUAGGCGGCUUGUUAAGUCUUGCGUGAAAUCUCGGGGCUCAACCCCGAGCGGUCGUGAGAAACUGGCAGGCUAGAGUGCGGGAGAGGAGAGUGGAAUUCCUGGUGUAGCGGUGAAAUGCGCAGAUAUCAGGAGGAACACCAAUGGCGAAGGCAGCUCGCUGGGACGGUACUGACGCUGAGGCGCGAAAGCGUGGGGAGCAAACAGG
This 253-nucleotide ribosomal RNA is filed under the name uncultured bacterium. RNAcentral's name for it is "partial 16S ribosomal RNA". It matches the Rfam family "Bacterial small subunit ribosomal RNA", at positions 524 to 776 of the family's 1533-position model. The record is from RNAcentral.